Molecule: ribosomal RNA, 435 nt
Filed under: uncultured bacterium
Lineage: Bacteria
Description: partial 16S ribosomal RNA
Rfam family: Bacterial small subunit ribosomal RNA
Source: RNAcentral
GACGAACGCUGGCGGCGGGCUUAACACAUGCAAGUCGAACGCAUGCCUUCGGGCAUGAGUGUCGAACGGGGGAGUAACGCGGGGGAACCUGCCAGUAGGUACGGAAUAGCUCCGGGAAACUGGAGAUAAUACCGUAGGUGUCCUGAGGGACAAAGAUUCAUCGCCAAGGGGUGGGCCCGCGUCGGAUUAGCGAGUUGGUGGGGUAACGGCCUACCAAGGCGACGAACCGUAGCUGGUCUAAGAGGAUGAUCAGCCACAUUGGGACUGAGACACGGCCCAAACUCCGACGGGAGGCAGCAGUGGGGAAUAUUGGACAAUGGGCGCAAGCCUGAUCCAGCCAUGCCGCGUGAGUGAUGAAGGCCCUAGGGUUGUAAAGCUCUUUCACCGGUGACGAUAAUGACGGUAACCGGAGAAGAAGCCCCGGCUAACUUCGUG